CUCGUAACGUGCAACUCCUGGAAAGACAGUUUUAUUUAAUAAUUAUAGUCAUAUUUUAGCAUAGUUGAAAUCAAAUUUAGUUCUUAAUUUUUUUAACAACGUUUAACACGAGAACCAUCCUAAAGGCCGUUUGGCAUCAAAGUGCUCGAUUCCAGAGAGAGAGAGAGAGAUAAAUGAAAAUAAUCCGUAAUUGUUUUAGUUAUGUCGUUUUCGCUUGUAGUCGAAUCUAAUCCAAUUUCGACCAUAACUGCUAUCGAAUACAGUGGAGACCGGGGCUAAUCCGGACACUUUCAGGAAAUUAAAAAAAAAUCAUUACAACAAGACUUUUACCCAAGAUACUGUAACGUUGUGUAGUUUCAGCCUUCAGCUACAAUUUUUAUUUGUGAUUUGGAAAAAUAAGCAUUAAAUUCCACAAAAAAGUCGCGAUGAAGUGAUCAACCAAAAAUCCAAAACUUCAGAGACUGCGGGGCUAACCCGGACAAAUCUUGGAAAAAGAAAAUAACAUCAAUUACACAUUACUCUUUACAGUUGUGUAGCUUCAACUCUCAACUACAAUUCUCAAUUUGUAACUUGAAAAAACAUGCAUUAGUUUUUAUACCAAGUCACGAUGAAGUUACCGAAGCCAAAAUCCAAUAUUUCAGGAAUCGCGGUGCUAAAACGGACCAUAAAGUCUCACACAAAAAUGAAGAACGAAUAAAAUAGGGCGCCAAAUCUUAAGAUAACUUUAUAUACGUAAAAGAAAGGAAACCAAGUUCGAAUGGAUUGUUUGUUGUUUCCAACCUUGGGUGAGACAUAAUCGUGCUCACCGGGAAUAUGGGUACCAAAUAAUUGAUGUUGAAACUGACUUUAGAGUCUUCAUUGAAGAAUGAUAUCCAAUAUGUUUUCCCUGGUUAGAUACUGAUCAUAUUUGAGGACUGAUUGUUUUGCUACAUACAAAGAACGUUUCGCUUGAAUUUAUAAUAAAUUUAAUUUUAAUGAAAAGUAGAUAAGAAAAAUGGACAUCAAUAUUAGGGUAUGUUUCAAGAAUUUGUUAAGAAUUUAUAGUUCAAAAUUAUGUGUCCGGUUGAAUUCCACUUUUUUGUCCGGUUUAGCCCCGCACAGACAAUUCGUUUUCGAGAAAUGAACAUUAGAAAAUACUAACUAGAUUUUCCUUACAAUUCACAGGAAUCUAAUAUACCCAAAAAAAUAAGAAAAUUUCAAAAAUAAAAAUAGUAAAAAACGUUUUGACACGAACACGAUUGACGCCAAAAUGAAUGGACUCAGUGUCAUCCAGCUAGCUGACGACUGUCUGUCACAUAAAAGCGCGUUUACAAAGUCGAUAAUGGCUGAUUUAGAAGCUGUCCGGUUUAACCCCAUGUUCGGUUUAGCCCCGGUUUCCCCUAUGAAUUUAGGAUCAAAACUGGACAGUUAGGGUCCAUGAAAACGACAUAAGAUUCAGUCAUGAUUAAUGAAUAAUCAAAGGUUAAAUAAGUCAGACAGCAUAAGAGGCGAAUGAAUCUAUAAGAAAUUUGCAAUAGUUUAUAUUGUACAUAAUCAUUGAUGCAAACAUUUGGAUAAGUUUGGCGCGAUUGAUCGGGAAUUGUUCGCAUGUAUAACGCAUGGAAAUCUGACUUAGAACAAAUAACACAGGCACUAUAGACAAAAGACACAA
Molecule: long non-coding RNA, 1651 nt
Organism: Malaya genurostris
Lineage: Eukaryota; Metazoa; Arthropoda; Insecta; Diptera; Culicidae
Exons: 2
Source: RefSeq, a predicted model, not a curated record